GCCAGCAUAGUGCAGUGGAUUGAAUGUUGGACUAUGACUCUGGAGACCAGGGUUCAAUUCCCAGCUCAGCCA
This 72-nucleotide transfer RNA is filed under the name Phrynosoma platyrhinos (Desert horned lizard). RNAcentral's name for it is "tRNA-OTHER". Lineage: Eukaryota; Metazoa; Chordata; Lepidosauria; Squamata; Phrynosomatidae. The record is from RNAcentral.